GACGAACGCUGGCGGCGUGCUUAACACAUGCCAGUCGAACGGAAAGGCCCUGCUUUUGUGGGGUGCUCGAGUGGCGAACGGGUGAGUAACACGUGAGUAACCUGCCCUUGACUUUGGGAUAACUUCAGGAAACUGGGGCUAAUACCGGAUAGGAGCUCCUGCUGCAUGGUGGGGGUUGGAAAGUUUCGGCGGUUGGGGAUGGACUCGCGGCUUAUCAGCUUGUUGGUGGGGUAGUGGCUUACCAAGGCUUUGACGGGUAGCCGGCCUGAGAGGGUGACCGGCCACAUUGGGACUGAGAGACGGCCCAGACUCCUACGGGAGGCAGCAGUGGGGAAUAUUGCACAAUGGGCGGAAGCCUGAUGCAACAACGCCGCGUGCGGGAUGACGGCCUUCGGGUUGUAAACCGCUUUCGCCUGUGACGAAGCGUGAGUGACGGUAAUGGGUAAAGAAGCACCGGCUAACUACGUG
RNAcentral lists this ribosomal RNA (468 nucleotides) under uncultured bacterium. RNAcentral's name for it is "partial 16S ribosomal RNA". It matches the Rfam family "Bacterial small subunit ribosomal RNA", at positions 28 to 507 of the family's 1533-position model. The record is from RNAcentral.